GCCCAGGUGGUGGAAUUGGUAGACACGCUAGCUUGAGGGGCUAGUGGCCGUAUUUAUGGCCGUGGAGGUUCAAGUCCUCUCCUGGGCACCA
This 91-nucleotide transfer RNA is filed under the name Patescibacteria group bacterium. Its description in RNAcentral is "tRNA-Leu". It matches the Rfam family "tRNA". From Rfam's summary of the family: Transfer RNA (tRNA) molecules are approximately 80 nucleotides in length. Their secondary structure includes four short double-helical elements and three loops (D, anti-codon, and T loops). The record is from RNAcentral.